UAACACAGGGACACAUUUGAAGUCUCGGAGCCGGGUGUUGGUUCCGGUAGCGAUCGAGGGAAAUUAGUACCGAAGUCCGGGAUGGAAGAUGGCGAGAAAAGCUGUGUGUAUUUCUGCGGUGCCCGUACCGCAAACCGACACAGGUAGGUAGGAAGAAGAUUCUAGGGCCAACGGGAGAAGGGUUGUUAAGGAACUCGGCAAAUUGACCCCGUAACUUCGGGAGAAGGGGUGCUCCAGAGAUGGAGCCGCAGAGAAUCGGCCCAAGCAACUGUUUACCAAAAACACAGGUUUGUGCUAAAUCGAAAGAUGACGUAUACGAGCUGACGCCUGCCCGGUGCUGGAAGGUUAAGAGGAGAUGUGCAAGCAUUGAAUCGAAGCCCCAGUGAACGGCGGCCGUAACUAUAACGGUCCUAAGGUAGCGAAAUUCCUUGUCAGGUAAGUUCUGACCCGCAUGAAAGGCGUAAUGAUUUGGGCACUGUCUCGACAGCCCGCCCGGCGAAAUUGUAGUACCGGUGAAGAUGCCGGUUACCCGCGACAAGACGGAAAGACCCCAUGGAGCUUUACUGUAGCCUAAUAUUGGGUUUCGAUGUUGCAUGCACAGGAUAGAUGGGACACUGGGAAGCAAGUGCUUUGGCAUUUGUGGAGUGGCCGUUGGGAUACCAUCCUUGCGAUAUUGGAAUUCUAACCUGCGCCUUUGAAUCAAGGCGGGGGACAUUGUUAGGUGGGCAGUUUGACUGGGGCGGUCGCCUCCUAAAGAGUAACGGAGGCGUUCAAAGGUUCGCUCAGCUUGAACGGAAAUCAAGCAAAAGUGUGCAAACGCAGAAGCGAGCCUAACUGCGAGACUGACGGGUCGAGCAGUAACGAAAGUUGGAGUUAGUGAUCCGGUGGUAUGUGAGUGGAAAUGCCAUCGCUCAACGGAUAAAAGUUACCCUGGGGAUAACAGGCUGAUCUCCCCCAAGAGUCCACAUCGACGGGGAGGUUUGGCACCUCGAUGUCGGCUCAUCGCAUCCUGGGGCUGUAUUCGGUCCCAAGGAUUUGGCUGUUCGCCAAUUAAAGCGGUACGCGAGCUGGGUUCUGAACGUCGUGAGACAGUUCGGUCCCUAUCUGUCGUGGGCGCAGGAUAUUUGAUGGGAGCUGUUCCUAGUACGAGAGGACCGGAGCGGACGUACCUCUGGCGCACCAGUUGUUCUGCCAAGGGCUUAGCUGGGCAACUAUGUACGGAUCGGAUAAACGCUGAAAGCAUCUAAGCGUGAAGCCGACCCAAAGAUAAGAUAUCCCAUUGUUUCAAACAAGUAAGACCCCUUGAAGACUACAAGGUUGAUAGGCACGAUGUGUAAGUGGAGCGAUCCAUUCAGCAAGCGUGUACUAAUAGGUCGAGGGCUUGACC
RNAcentral lists this ribosomal RNA (1387 nucleotides) under metagenome. RNAcentral describes it as "bacterial LSU rRNA". It matches the Rfam family "Bacterial large subunit ribosomal RNA", at positions 1462 to 2925 of the family's 2925-position model. The record is from RNAcentral.